ACUCCUGCGGGAGGCAGCAGUGGGGAAUUUUGGACAAUGGGCGAAAGCCUGAUCCAGCAAUGCCGCGUGAGUGAAGAAGGCCUUCGGGUUGUAAAGCUCUUUUGUCAGGGAAGAAACGGUGAAAGCUAAUAUCUUUUGCUAAUGACGGUACCUGAAGAAUAAGCACCGGCUAACUACGUGCCAGCAGCCGCGGUAAUACGUAGGGUGCAAGCGUUAAUCGGAAUUACUGGGCGUAAAGCGUGCGCAGGCGGUUUUGUAAGUCUGAUGUGAAAUCCCCGGGCUCAACCUGGGAAUUGCAUUGGAGACUGCAAGGCUAGAAUCUGGCAGAGGGGGGUAGAAUUCCACGUGUAGCAGUGAAAUGCGUAGAUAUGUUGAGGAACACCGAUGGCGAAGGCAGCCCCCUGGGUCAAGAUUGACGCUCAUGCACGAAAGCGUGGGGAGCAAACAGGAUUAGAUACCCGAGUAGUCCC
This 470-nucleotide ribosomal RNA is filed under the name uncultured organism. Its description in RNAcentral is "partial 16S ribosomal RNA". It matches the Rfam family "Bacterial small subunit ribosomal RNA", at positions 335 to 797 of the family's 1533-position model. The record is from RNAcentral.